GAUGAAGAACGCAGCGAAAUGCGAUACGUAGUGUGAAUUGCAGAAUUCAGUGAAUCAUCGAAUCUUUGAACGCAUAUUGCGCUCUCUGGUAUUCCGGAGAGCAUGCUUGUUUGAGUAUCAGUAAACACCUCAACUUCCAUAUCUUUUUUGAAAUGGGAGUUGGACUUGAGUGAUCCCAACGCUUUUCCUCACCGAAAAGUGGCGGGUUACUUGAAAUGCAGGUGCAGCUGGACUUUUCUCUUAGCUAUAAGCAUAUCUAUUUAGUCUGCCUAAAAAACAGAUUAUUACCUUUGCUGCAGCUAACAUAAAGGAGAUUAGUUCUUGUGCUGACUGAUGCAGGAUUCACAAAGACGGCUUCGGCCGACUUUGUAAACUCGAUCUCAAAUCAAGUAAGACUACCCGCUGAACUUAAGCAUAUCAAUAAGCGGAGGA
RNAcentral lists this unclassified non-coding RNA (432 nucleotides) under soil metagenome. RNAcentral describes it as "partial contains 5.8S ribosomal RNA, internal transcribed spacer 2, and large subunit ribosomal RNA". The stretch from base 1 to 120 matches the Rfam family "5.8S ribosomal RNA", at positions 35 to 154 of the family's 154-position model. The record is from RNAcentral.